CCCUGAGAGCCUGCCAGUGGCUGAGAGAAGGACAGCAUCUUCCAGGAGAAAGGAAAACCAGAAGGAGACACACGUAGGAAUGAGUCUCCAUAGUGGGAAAGCUCCCCAACGUGAAACCCAAGUCCUUCUCUUCGCUCUGUGAGAUGUCAAGAAACCAGAGGCUGGGCCCUCAGCGGACAGGAUGAUGCCCACCUGAAUUGGAGGGAGCCGUAUUCUUUGCUCAGUCUAUUGAAUCAAAUGCUAACCUCUUCCAGAAACACCCACACAGACACAGACAUAAUAUUUUACCAGCUAUCUGGGCAUCCCUGAGUCCCGUCAAGUCGGCACAUAAAAUGAACCAUCACAGAUGCGAACCUCCUUAGCAGUGUAUUUCAAAUGGGGGCGGGGAGUCCAUCAAUCAAAAUGCAGAUUCCCAGGCCUCACUUGGAUGCCACGGAUCAGAACUGUGGGAGACGUGGCGCUCUAAUACGUGGUUCUCACCAGCAUCUCAGGGGAUUGUCAUGCAGCUGAAGUUUGAGAUGCCCGUGCCUUAGAAAUGAUGCCGGUCUAAUGGUGCCCUCUCCCGGCAGUGGGGAAGCUGAAGUUGGGAGAGAUGUUGAGCGUGGCUUGGUCACAGGCAGGCACAGCACUGCUGAGCCAUGUCUGGGAGGGCACUGAGAACUCUCUGAGGAGGCUUCUCAAACCCGCUGUGCAUUGGUAGAACCCAUGCAGCUUUGAAAAGCUGCUCGUGCCUGGGCUCCGCCCCAGAGGUUCGGGAUUUGUUGAUCUGGGAUGGGUCCAGGCAUGGUGCGCUGUGAAAGUCUUCCCGUGCUAUUAAUGGUGUGCGGUGUUGAGAACAGCAGGUCUCAGCGUCAGGUUUUGGAGGCAGAGAUGGAGGCAGGUGGUGUGCUUGGUAUUAUGGUGCUCGCAGCAUCACAAGAUUCACUGUCCUUCGGGGUGCCGGGAGGACUGUACUUCCCCAUCCCUGUGAAAUUAGGCUUGGCCAUGGGACCAGUUCUGGCCAAUGGAUUGGCAGAAGUGAUGCCACUUCUGGGGGGGGGGGGCGGAAUAUAGGUGCUGAUGUGAGUGGCCCCUGCUGUCCUGUGACCACACUGGACCUGUGGUGUGAGUGAGAAAGACGUCUCGUUUGCAGUUGCUGAGGUCCUGUUUGUCUCUGGGUUAUACCCUGACCUCGCCUGACAGACACACCUGGUUUCAUAAAAAGUUAGUAAAGCUAACGAUAGUUCUGCAUCCUAAAUGCCUUCUCCAUUGCCUUAAUAGAAUAAAUAAACUCUUUUCUUUUUUCCUCCUGUUUUGUUGUUGAAAUCCCGUUGAAAGAUGGAGCCAGGCUUUUGAUGCUAAAAUGUUUCCCAUUGCUUAGUCAAGGCUGUGUAUUCAGUUCAUGGAACUUGCUUAUUCAGUUUGUCCUGAGGAGACGAGUGUUAUGUCAGGCAAAAAAUCCUAAAUGAUUAGAGCAAAUGGUGGUCUUUUCUCACUGAGAAAAAUGUCUGCAGAAAAUUGAUUGAUCUUGACUGAUAUGUGUGCCGGAGCUCUGUUCUUUUGACUUUUACAAGGGAAAUCUCAAGUUAGGGAAAAGGAAGAAAACAUACCACUUGCUUUAAAAUGCAUUUUUUUCAGGAGAAAAUUUAGCAGCUGUGAUGGUUAUGCUGCUUUUGGUAAGAAUGUUUUCCAAUGUAUAAUACAUUAGACUUACCACAAGCCUCCUGCCAGGGUGAAGCUUGCACUAAGCAAGUGGCGACUCUUCCUGGAUUGAAUUCUUGGCUGGAGGGAUGGUUAGGCUUGGGGAAGACAUGGAGAAUGAUAGGUGAAUAGAAAAGAGUUUAUUGAGUUCAGGUGUCCUGACAUUUGCAUUUUGUGAAAUUUCUGUUCAUGCUUCAGGGAGAAAUAAUUUAAAAAUACUAGUAAGAGUAGGCAGCCUUUACAAAAAUUCAAUACAUGUUUUAAAAUUAUUUUUCUGGCUCUGAACUGCUAUUUAGGGCUGAAUUAUUAUAUGGCUCUUUUUCAAAAUUCACUUGACAAUGGGCAAUUUGAUUUUUCUGAAAUAUUUUAUCUACAGAUAGGAAGCUUGUAGAUACUGAAAACCUCUGAGAAUCUGGGAAGAGAGAAUGAGACUGACUUGCUCCUGGCUUUAGCCCCAGUUAGAGAAGCGUCUGGGUUGUGCUAUUAUGUGUUCCAGAGGUGCUUCCAUGUCUGGGGCAGCAUGAUCCUGAAUGAGAAGGGACCCGAAAGGGCCUGGAGCACCUGCCCUUUAUGUUUGCAUGUUAUCUGCCCAGCCCAGCAGGUGCCUUCCUCCUCGGGGAGCUCACAAAGCAGACAGAGCUGUUUCUGAUAAGAUCCCUGGGAAGAUGUUCACAAGGGCACGAAGUUGCGCCUAUGAAGGGGGCUGGUUUUUCCAAUCAGCACUGUAGUAAGAACGGGCUGGCACAUUCACCCUGGGCCCGACCUCCCUGGGAGCAGGCUUGGGUGGUAGAGACUAGACGGGCCACAGCCACCUGGAAACUUCUGUCCGAUUGCUUCUCUCUCUUCCUCCUAGGACCAUUCUCUCUGGGAGAAGGUAAGCAGUGUGCAAGAGGGAAGAACAGCUAGUCAGACACUUGUCCUGGAAAAAGAAUGGAACCAGGCUGAGGAUGUAGAUUCUCUCACUGGCUGGCCUUUGGGGUGGGGACCACCGUGGCCUCUGGAUCAAUUUGGAAUCUCUGGGCUCCGGGAGACUCAGUUUCAAUGCAGCAUUUAUUCUUAUGUGUGAACGGCAGCACCGCUUUCUGCUCUUGGCUGGGGGAGGCACACGGCAGGUGGGGAGAUCACUCUGACCCACGGUGGACUCAGCUGCAUCAGAACCAUCAGCAACUCAAAUAGCAGAGCUCCCUUGAACCCCACGCUUCACACAUGUAUCUGGAAUGACGAUGGGGGUUUUGUACAAAAGCAACCCUCAGGAGCAGGAUGUAAUUUCCUCAAAGUAGUCAUUCGAGCCAUCAUAGCUCAGGAAUAUGAGAACAGGAAGGUUUUGUGGACAUAGACAAGACAAUGAAGGAAAUGAAACACUAUGGGGCCGACGUUCCCAGGUCCUGGUGGGGUUCCGGAUCCUUCUGGAAGGAGGGCUCCUUUGCAUGUUGUGAGCAGUGGGCUUUGCUGGUGGGGGAGGCCAGGACUUGGCUGCUCUCCUUUCCAGUGCCCGACCACCAACAGGCUCCACCCAGGAGGCAGUCAUAUCGCCACACCAUUGUCACAGGGGCUGGGGUACCGAAAGUGGUCAAGGUAACCGGCUGCUGGUGUUUUAUGUAUGUGGAAAGUUUAUAGAACUCAUUUCCCAAUUGUUUAUUUUGGUAAAAAUGUUGACUUGGGGGCUGGCCCCGUGGCCGAGUGGUUAAGUUCGCGCACUCCGCUGCAGGCGGCCCAGUGUUUCGUCAGUUCGAAUCCUGGGCGCGGACAUGGCACUGCUCAUCAGACCACGCUGAGGCAGUGUCCCACAUGCCACAACUAGAAGAACCCACAACGAAGAAUACACAACUAUGUACCGGGGGGCUUUGGGG
Molecule: long non-coding RNA, 3530 nt
Filed under: Equus caballus (horse)
Lineage: Eukaryota; Metazoa; Chordata; Mammalia; Perissodactyla; Equidae
Description: lncRNA (ENSECAG00000054396.1)
Source: RNAcentral